AUGGUGAAUAAGAUGAAUGAUGAGAUUGUUGUGAUUUUUACUGCAUCUCACACGUCUGCUGCUGAAACUGGUCCCACAGUAAAGCCCUCAGUGUCUCUGCUGCCCCCCUCUUCUCUGCAGAUCUCUGGAGACUCAGCCGCACUGCUCUGUCUGCUCAGCUCUUACUCUCCACAGGGGGCGCUGGUGAGCUGGACACUGGACGGCUCAGAGGUCACCGAGGGGGUUGUGACCAGCGCAGAGAGCGAGCAGGACGGCCGCUACAGCCGCAGUAGUGUCCUGACCCUCAGCAAAGCACGCUGGGAAGAGGGAGAGCUGUACGUCUGCAGAGUAACACAUGAUGGAGCUCCUCAUGAAGCCUCGUUCCACAAGAGUCGCUGUUAGUCACUCGCAGAGCUGAUGUUUCUCCAGUGAGCGCUGCUCUCUCCUGAAGAUGAGUGUAUCUGAGUGUCCUGUGUCAGGCAGGAUUCACAUGAGUCUAGUGCUGCAGCUGUAGUCAUUUACAACUCAAUACUGAAAGAGAGCUCUAGUAUCAAAGCACUGACUGAUCUUUCAAUCUGCUGUGUUUGCUGCAACAUUCAAUAAAGCUUCUCAACAAACUCCA
Carassius auratus (goldfish) is the source of this 601-nucleotide non-coding RNA. The record is from the annotation of a RefSeq genome assembly. NCBI's taxonomy places the organism in Eukaryota, Metazoa, Chordata, Actinopteri, Cypriniformes, Cyprinidae.